This 285-nucleotide ribosomal RNA is filed under the name uncultured bacterium. Its description in RNAcentral is "partial 16S ribosomal RNA". It matches the Rfam family "Bacterial small subunit ribosomal RNA", at positions 335 to 638 of the family's 1533-position model. The record is from RNAcentral.
AUCCUACGGGGCGCAGCAGUGGGGGAUAUUGCACAAUGGGGGGAACCCUGAUGCAGCGACGCCGCGUGGGUGAAGAAGCGCCUCGGCGCGUAAAGCCCUGUCAGCAGGGAAGAAAAUGACGGUACCUGAAGAAGAAGCCCCGGCUAACUACGUGCCAGCAGCCGCGGUAAUACGUAGUGGGCAAGCGUUAUCCGGAUUUACUGGGGGUAAAGGGAGCGUAGACGGCAAUACAAGUCGGAAGUGAAAUACCUGGGCUCAACCUGGGAACUGCUUUGGAAACUGUAU